GAUGGGUUUAGUCUUUUGUAGCAUUCAAUGUAGCUUGGCUUCAUCAUGGGUGGAACUGGGUCCCGUGGAAGAGGAAUUGGAUUGUACUGGGGGAGGGACCGGAUGGCCCUAUGGCGGUACCGGAUGAUAUGGUGGAGGCAUCGGGUUAUACUGUGGCGGUACUAGAUGAUAUGGUGGAGGCACUGGAUUGUACUGUGGUGGUGCCAGAUGGUACGGUAGAGGAGUAGGGUUGUAAUAGGGUGGCUCUGAUUCUUCCCACUAUAAGGGUGUCUAAAAUUGUGGUAACGGAGGAGGGUCAGGUAGCUCCCUCAUUUCCCCUGGGCCUGCUAGACAAAGAUGAGUCUCUUCAGCAUCUCUAAGAGUCGCUCAACAUCCUCUCGAAGUGAGCCAUCCCGGGCUGCUCUAUUUAGUGGGGGUCUUCCUCUCCUCAUUUCUUUAUAUAUGCAUUU
Molecule: long non-coding RNA, 449 nt
Filed under: Carica papaya (papaya)
Lineage: Eukaryota; Viridiplantae; Streptophyta; Magnoliopsida; Brassicales; Caricaceae
Description: long non-coding RNA (CPAP_LNC009861)
Source: RNAcentral